UACGGAGGUUGCAAGCGUUAUCCGGAUUCAUUGGGUUUAAAGGGUGCGUAGGCGGGACGGUAAGUCAGUGGUGAAAGCCUGCAGCUUAACGGUAGAAUUGCCAUUGAUACUGCUGUUCUUGAGUGCAGCUGAGGUGGGCGGAAUGUGUAGUGUAGCGGUGAAAUGCUUAGAUAUUACACAGAACACCGAUUGCGAAGGCAGCCCACUAAACUUUAACUGACGCUGAGGCACGAAAGCGUGGGGAGCAAACAGG
RNAcentral lists this ribosomal RNA (253 nucleotides) under uncultured bacterium. Its description in RNAcentral is "partial 16S ribosomal RNA". It matches the Rfam family "Bacterial small subunit ribosomal RNA", at positions 524 to 776 of the family's 1533-position model. The record is from RNAcentral.